Molecule: ribosomal RNA, 443 nt
Filed under: uncultured bacterium
Lineage: Bacteria
Description: partial 16S ribosomal RNA
Rfam family: Bacterial small subunit ribosomal RNA
Source: RNAcentral
CCUACGGGAGACAGCAGUGGGGAAUAUUGGGCAAUGGGCGCAAGCCUGACCCAGCAACGCCGCGUGAAGGAAGAAGGCUUGCGGGGUGUAAACUUCUUGUAGCAGGGACGAAGCAAGUGACGGUACCGGAUGAAUAAGCGACGGCUAACGACGGGCCAGCAGCCGCGGUAAUACGUAGGUGGCAAGCUUUAGGCGGAAUUACUGGGUGUAAAGGGCGUGUAGGCGGGAGUGCAAGUCAGAUGUGAAAACUCUGGGCUCAACCCAUAGCCUGCUUUUGAAACUGUACUUCUUGAGUGCUGGAGAGGCAAUCGGAAUUCCGUGUGUAGCGGUGCAAUGCGUAGCUAUCCGGAGGCACACCAGUGGCGAAGGCGGAUUGCUGGACAGUAACUGCCGCUGAGGCGCGAAAGCGUGGGGAGCAAACAGGAUUAGAUCCCCUGGUAGUC